This 420-nucleotide ribosomal RNA is filed under the name uncultured bacterium. RNAcentral describes it as "bacterial SSU rRNA". It matches the Rfam family "Bacterial small subunit ribosomal RNA", at positions 375 to 790 of the family's 1533-position model. The record is from RNAcentral.
GCGCAAGCCUGACGGAGCGACGCCGCGUGCGGGAUGAAGGCCCUCGGGUUGUAAACCGCUGUCAGUGGGGAGCAAAUCCAUAGAGGUUAUCCUCUAUGGUCGAGCAAUCCGCAGAGGAAGCGCAGGCUAAGUUCGUGCCAGCAGCCGCGGUAACACGAACUGCGCGAACGUUAUUCGGAAUCACUGGGCUUAAAGAGUCCGUGGGCUGCUUGGCCGGUGGGGUGUGAAAUCCCACGGCUCAACCGUGGAACUGCGCUCCAAACCGCCAAGCUAGAGGGAGAUAGAGGAGAGCGGAACUGAUGGUGGAGCGGUGAAAUGCGUUGAUAUCAUCAGGAACACCGGUGGCGAAAGCGGCUCUCUGGGUCUCUUCUGACGCUGAGGGACGAAAGCUAGGGGAGCGAAAGGGAUUAGAUACCCCUG